UAUGCAUUCACACUCCCAUAUUGUGAAGUAUUGCCAGUUCACCUGCCUCAUGUUAUGAUCUUCUGCCUGUUUAUUGGAUUCACGUUUCUGGAUUACCCUUUUUGUCUUGUUGACCUUAUUGGAUUGUUUGUCUGUUACCUACUUCUGCCUGUUGUACUGACCACGUUUGAGCCUUCUGAUUUGGAUUUGGUCAUUAAACUCUCCUGCAUAAUGGAUUCUAACCCGACCUCUAGUCUGAGUUCGUUACAGUCUCCAUCUUCCAAAGGCAUCUCCAAUAUCUAUCCUUGUUUUACUACGCCUGUGGUAAUGGUGGUUUUUAGAUGGAUGGCGAGGCUUUUUAGGUCAGGUGGAAUCUGUUAUCUCUAAUCCAGUUUGUUUGCUGGCUUCCAUGGCUGCAGCACGCAGUGUUGUUUGCCCACAAACUUGUUCAAAUCUGGCAACCCGGCAGUGUCAAAAUACUAUUGUAGGUCCUCGUGUUGGUACGGUUACUCACCUCAGUCUGGGUGGCAGAGGACAAGUCUCAGUUGCCUCCGCUUCUGAGACCGUCAAUCCACGCAUCUUAUCACAUGGCUCCCUGUGCAUGACACCGCGGAGACUUGCAGCAUGUGGAGGCUCAUGCUACUCUCCACGAUGCACACACAACUUACCACGCGCCCCAUUGAGAGCGAGAACCACUAAUCACAACCACAAUGGAGGUUACCCCAUGUGACUCAACGCUCCCUAGCAACCGGGCCAAUUUGGUUGCCUAGGAGACCUAGCUGGAGUCACUCAGCACACCCUGGAUUCGAACUCAUGACUCCAGGGGUGGUAAUCAGCGUCAGUACUCAAUGAGCUACCCAGGCCUCCCUAUGUCAUGUAUUUUUAAACAUUAUUGUACAUCUUGUCGAAUGUUGUCCUCAAUGUGCAAAUUGAAGGCUGCAAAAAAAUCUAAAUGUAAAGGUGUGUGUUAUGCAUUGUAUGCAAAAAAUAUUGCAAUAUAAAUUGCAUAUGCUUUUCACAUUAUAAAAAACAAAAACAAAAAACAAGUGUUUGUCCACAGUUUUAAUGUAUUUAAUAUAUUUAAUGUAUUUUUAUGUAUAUAUUUAAUGGGAUAAGGAGAGUUCCCUGCUCACUGUGUAAAGUGCAUUGAGUGCAGUGUCAGAAAAGCGCUAUAUAAAUAUAACGUUCAUUCAUUCAUUCAUUUAUCAAAAUCAAUAUUUUAGUCAAAAUGUUUGCAGACCCUUUCUCUGUCAUCACACUCCGUUUUGUUGACAUGCAUGUGCAUGCACUUGCUCUGUGCAGUAAGCCUAUUUAAAGUAAUAAUGACUCUCUUGCUGUUUUGAACUUGUUGUUUUGCCAAAUAUAAAUGGAAACUUG
Long non-coding RNA from Myxocyprinus asiaticus (Chinese sucker), 1356 nucleotides. RefSeq lists it as uncharacterized. The transcript is spliced from 2 exons. The record is from RefSeq and is a predicted model, not a curated record. Lineage: Eukaryota; Metazoa; Chordata; Actinopteri; Cypriniformes; Catostomidae.